CUUGCUCCGUGAGUGGCGCACGGCUGAGGAUCACGUGGGAACAUGCCUCCGGGUGGGGGACAACAGCGCGAAAGCGCUGCUAAUCCCGCAUACGCUCGUCGCACGACGAGGAAAGCGGCAACGCGCCGGGAGAGUGGCCAGCGGCCCAUCAGGUCGUAGGUGGGGUAACGGCCUACCUAGCCGAUGACGGGUAGCUGGUCUGUGAGGACAGACAGCCAGACUGGGACUGAGACACGGCCCAGACUCCUACGGGAGGCAGCAGCAAGGAAUUUUCGUCAAUGGGCGCAAGCCUGAACGAGCAACGCCGCGUGGAGGAUGACGGCCUUCGGGUUGUAAACUCCUUUUUCGGGGGACGAUGAUGACGGUACCCCGGGAAUAAGGCUCGGCUAACUCUGUGCCAGCAGCCGCGGUAAUACAGAGGAGCCAAGCGUUGUCCGGAUUGACUGGGCGUAAAGCGCACGCAGGCGGCAUCGCGCGUGGGGUGUGAAAUCUGGCCGCUUAACGGCCAGGCGCCAUCCCAUACGGCGAGGCUGGAGCGAUGCAGAGGUCGGUGGAAUUGCCGGUGUAGUGGUGAAAUGCGUAGAGAUCGGCAGGAACACCCAGGGGGAAACCAGCCGACUGGGCAUCUGCUGACGCUGAGGUGCGAGAGCGUGGGGAGCGAACCGGAUUAGAUACCCGGGUAGUCCACGCCGUAAACGAUGGCCACUCGGCCUUUGGCGACGGAACAUCCGUCGGUGGGGGCCUUAGCUAACGCGGGAAGUGGCCCGCCUGGGAACUACGAGCGCAAGCUUAAAACUCAAAGGAAUUGAC
This 810-nucleotide ribosomal RNA is filed under the name uncultured Chloroflexota bacterium. Its description in RNAcentral is "bacterial SSU rRNA". It matches the Rfam family "Bacterial small subunit ribosomal RNA", at positions 83 to 914 of the family's 1533-position model. The record is from RNAcentral. Lineage: Bacteria; Bacillati; Chloroflexota.